Molecule: long non-coding RNA, 217 nt
Filed under: Mytilus galloprovincialis (Mediterranean mussel)
Lineage: Eukaryota; Metazoa; Mollusca; Bivalvia; Mytilida; Mytilidae
Source: RNAcentral
GUGCAUAUUAAACAAUGGACACAGAUAAAUUCAUGGCAAACUUGUGUUUUGGUGAUGGUGAUGUGUUUGUAGAUCUUACUUUACUGAACAUUCUUGUUGCUACAAUUAUCUCUAUCUAUAAUGAACUUGGCCCAGUAAUUACAUUGGAAAAUAUUUUCUAAAAAUUUAUGAGAAUUGUUAAAAGAUUACUAUAAAGGGCAAUAACUCCUUAAGAGGU